CCCUGAUGCUACUGCUGCUCAGCUUAUAAACCUCUGAGACCAAUGGAGCCUUUAAAAGUUCACAAGAUGCCAUCAGACUUUGAUUUCCACCUGUAUGAAUAUACACAAUGACAAAGCUACACCAGAGCCCCUCCAGAAGUGCUCAGAGCUGGGAACAGCAAACCAAGAGAAAUUCCAGCAAAGGGGCGGUGACUGAUGCUGCAGAUAGCAGUUAUCAGAGGAGCCCAUAAAUCCACCCAACCUAAACACAGUGUCAGGCAGCAGCCCUUCUGCUUUGGAUGUCGCCUCCGGGGAUGCACAGCUGCUUGUUCUGAUCAACAGUUUCCAUUCUGUCUUUCAGGUUCCCAGAAGACACUGUUUCCUGGGAAAUGUCUUUGUGGUGCUGGUUGAGUGCCUGCACGGCCUCAGGGAGAAGGAGCAGAGCUUGACACUGUCCUGAUGCACAGCUUCAAACUGCCGUUAGGCUGCCAUGGGAUGGCUGGGAAAUGUGUAAAUGGGUAAAACAACGUGUAUUGGUGAAACCAGCUUGCUGGCAUUACAGAGCUUGUUUAAUCGUGGAGUCACAGAAUGGCCUGGGAUGAAAGGGACCUCAAAGAUCAUCUAGUUCCAACCCCCUGGAAAGUCUGCAUUAAGAAAUAGUACCAGCUUCUCUCCUGGGGCUUGUAAUUGUCACUUACCAGCACCGUGAUCUUUAACACAACGACUCUCUAGUGGCAUCACUGUGGUUGCAGUCACCCCAAUCCUCUGCAGACGGAGAUUACUUGAGGUGAGAUGGAGAGGGACAGAGGGAUGAAAAGCAGGGAAGCCACAAGCCUGGAGCUGAUGCCACCGCAGAGAUGUGCUGAGUGUCAGGAGUGAGUCUGCUAUCCCCUACACCUGGGCUGCUCUGCAGCUCCCUUUAGAUCCAAAAUGAUUUGUGCUUCCUUCUGACCCCCAAAGGCAGUCAAAAACAAAUGUACUGACAUGAAAG
This is a long non-coding RNA of Gallus gallus (chicken), 970 nucleotides long. NCBI's taxonomy places the organism in Eukaryota, Metazoa, Chordata, Aves, Galliformes, Phasianidae. The record is from Ensembl.